CAUUUAUCCAAUUCUCUGUUGGUUUUCAUUAAGCUCCAAGUAUGACAAAUGUCGGUAUAAACUCAAGCGCUGUGAACAGGGACGCCAUGCCAUGUCAAAGCCAAUUCUCUUUCCCAAAGUGAACAUCUCUUUCACAUCACAAACUACAUGCUUUCUAUCUGGACUUGAAAUUGACCUAAAACUCCGCUUCAUCGUCGCCAUCAUCA
RNAcentral lists this long non-coding RNA (206 nucleotides) under Linum usitatissimum (flax). RNAcentral describes it as "long non-coding RNA (LUSI_LNC004550)". The record is from RNAcentral. Lineage: Eukaryota; Viridiplantae; Streptophyta; Magnoliopsida; Malpighiales; Linaceae.